UCCACGUGCUUCCCGUGGUCUGAUGGCUC
Molecule: non-coding RNA, 29 nt
Filed under: Rattus norvegicus (Norway rat)
Lineage: Eukaryota; Metazoa; Chordata; Mammalia; Rodentia; Muridae
Source: RNAcentral